Equus asinus (donkey) is the source of this 104-nucleotide small nuclear RNA. NCBI's taxonomy places the organism in Eukaryota, Metazoa, Chordata, Mammalia, Perissodactyla, Equidae. The record is from Ensembl.
GUGCUUGCUUCAGCAGUACAUAUAAUAAAAUUGGAAUGACACAGAGGUUAGCUUGGCCCCUGAGCAAGGAUGACAGCUGAAGUUGUGAAGUGUUCCAUAUUUGA